UGUGGGAGCUGGCUUGCCUGCGAUAGCGGCGGGUCAGUUUGCAUUUAAGUGGCUGACAUUCCGCCAUCGCAGGCAAGCCAGCUCCCACA
Molecule: non-coding RNA, 89 nt
Filed under: Pseudomonas lurida
Lineage: Bacteria; Pseudomonadati; Pseudomonadota; Gammaproteobacteria; Pseudomonadales; Pseudomonadaceae
Source: RNAcentral